Rosa chinensis is the source of this 833-nucleotide long non-coding RNA. RefSeq lists it as uncharacterized. The transcript is spliced from 4 exons. NCBI's taxonomy places the organism in Eukaryota, Viridiplantae, Streptophyta, Magnoliopsida, Rosales, Rosaceae. The record is from RefSeq and is a predicted model, not a curated record.
UCCAUUUCAUUUCCUCUUGCUGGUGUUGUUCGUCCCCGACUGCCGACCUAGAAAUUUCAGUUCAGAAACCCAAUCUCUGUUUCUUUCGCCUCUCUUCUGUGAUGAGAAUCAAACACAUUCGCACCUCUCUGUGUGCUGAGAGAGACUAGAUGCUGAUCAAAACGCUGCGUUUCGUCGGCGAUCGUCGAAAUCCGUAUCGGAAUGCAAUCCAACGUAUCUUCAACGACCUCAGGGAACUUAUGUUGAAUGAAUCAAAGCGGAAGUUGUGUAGUCUCCUGCUCGUGCUCUUUCCUUGAUAGCAACCGUACAGGUUUUCUGGAAGAGUGUGGGCAGUGGGUGCUCUUUGUUGCUGGGAGAACUUGUGUCUAAAGAGAGAAGAAAAUUAGACUUUUCUCGUGUGGUGAUGAGGGAUCUUUUGAGCAAGUAUGGUGUGAGAAAGAGACAACUUGAGAGUUUGGUUUGACUAUUGACGAGAGGAAGAAGAUUGGGUUUUUAUUGGAGUUCUAAGGUUGCUUUCCAAAGUUUAGGAAAUGGUUCGGUCAGGAUUGACAAGUGGUCAGGGAUCAGUUUCUGAAAAAUCUGUAAUCAUCAGUUGUUUUGGUGGACACACGUUACUGUUCCAGUAACUGAACAAUAUGGAUGUGUAGUUCUAGGAUAGUUUCUAUCAAGGACAAUGGGUUUUAUGGAAAUAUUAUUGGCCUUUUGAAUUAACUGUUGUAUCAUGUUACCUCUUGGGUGUGCAUUGAUUAGUAGCCUUUCUAUUCAAAACUGCAUACUAAUGAAAUCUUGUGGACAAUGGAUUUUAUGUGUUUCCAUUGAAUCAUUGGUACUAA